RNAcentral lists this ribosomal RNA (545 nucleotides) under uncultured Alphaproteobacteria bacterium. RNAcentral's name for it is "bacterial SSU rRNA". It matches the Rfam family "Bacterial small subunit ribosomal RNA", at positions 8 to 597 of the family's 1533-position model. Lineage: Bacteria; Pseudomonadati; Pseudomonadota; Alphaproteobacteria. The record is from RNAcentral.
AGAGUUUGAUCUUGGCUCAGGAUGAACGCUGGCGGUAUGCUUAACACAUGCAAGUCGAACGGUUAUAGCAAUAUAGCAGUGGCAGACGGGUGAGGAACACGUGGGAAUAUUCCUUUCAGUACGGAACAACUCAGGGAAACUUGAGCUAAUACCGUAUACGCCCUACGGGGGAAAGAUUUAUCGCUGAAAGAUUAGCCCGCGUCUGAUUAGCUAGUUGGUGAGGUAAUGGCUCACCAAGGCGACGAUCAGUAGCUGGUCUGAGAGGAUGAUCAGCCACAUUGGGACUGAGACACGGCCCAAACUCCUACGGGAGGCAGCAGUGGGGAAUAUUGGACAAUGGGCGCAAGCCUGAUCCAGCCAUGCCGCGUGAGUGAUGAAGGCCUUAGGGUUGUAAAGCUCUUUUGUCCGGGAAGAUAAUGACGGUACCGGAAGAAUAAGCCCCGGCUAACUUCGUGCCAGCAGCCGCGGUAAUACGAAGGGGGCUAGCGUUGUUCGGAAUCACUGGGCGUAAAGCGCACGUAGGCGGACUUUUAAGUCGGAGGUGA